RNAcentral lists this transfer RNA (73 nucleotides) under Stegodyphus mimosarum. It matches the Rfam family "tRNA". Rfam says of the family: Transfer RNA (tRNA) molecules are approximately 80 nucleotides in length. The record is from Rfam by way of RNAcentral. Lineage: Eukaryota; Metazoa; Arthropoda; Arachnida; Araneae; Eresidae.
GCCUUCAUCGUGUAAUGGACAGGACACUGGGCGUGUAUUCCAGAGGUCCGUGGUUCGAACCCCGGCGAAGGCG